This 519-nucleotide ribosomal RNA is filed under the name uncultured eukaryote. RNAcentral describes it as "SSU rRNA". It matches the Rfam family "Eukaryotic small subunit ribosomal RNA", at positions 1161 to 1699 of the family's 1831-position model. The record is from RNAcentral.
AGGGCACCACCAGGAGUGGAGCCUGCGGCUUAAUUUGACUCAACACGGGAAAACUCACCCGGCCCGGACACUGGAAGGAUUGACAGAUUGAGAGCUCUUUCUUGAUUCAGUGGGCGGUGGUGCAUGGCCGUUCUUAGUUGGUGGAGUGAUUUGUCUGGUUAAUUCCGAUAACGAACGAGACUCUAGCCUACUAAAUAGAUAGUCGGCUUACAAACGUCGACUAGACUUCUUAGAGGGACAGGCGGUGAUUCAACCGCACGAAACAGAGCAAUAACAGGUCUGUGAUGCCCUUAGAUGUCCGGGGCCGCACGCGCGCUACACUGAAGUGAUCAGCGUGCUUUUUCAGCCUACUCUGUCAAGAGUGGGAAACCCAAUGAACCUUCUUCGUGAUUGGGAUAGGGGAUUGUAAUUAUUCCCCUUGAACGAGGAAUUCCCAGUAAGCGCGAGUCAUAAGCUCGCGUUGAUUACGUCCCUGCCCUUUGUACACACCGCCCGUCGCUACUACCGAUUGAAUGUUUU